UACGUAGGGUGCGAGCGUUAAUCGGAAUUACUGGGCGUAAAGGGUGCGUAGGCGGAUAUAUAAGUUAGAUGUGAAAAGCCCGGGCUCAACCUUGGUCGUGCAUUUAAGACUGUAUGUCUAGAGUUUGUAAGAGGGGGGUAGAAUUCCAAGUGUAGCAGUGAAAUGCGUAGAGAUUUGGAGGAAUACCGAUGGCGAAGGCAGCUCCCUGGUAUAGAACUGACGCUGAGGCACGAAAGCGUGGGUAGCAAACAGG
RNAcentral lists this ribosomal RNA (253 nucleotides) under uncultured bacterium. Its description in RNAcentral is "partial 16S ribosomal RNA". It matches the Rfam family "Bacterial small subunit ribosomal RNA", at positions 524 to 776 of the family's 1533-position model. The record is from RNAcentral.